Long non-coding RNA from Mus pahari (shrew mouse), 774 nucleotides. RefSeq lists it as uncharacterized. The transcript has 5 exons. NCBI's taxonomy places the organism in Eukaryota, Metazoa, Chordata, Mammalia, Rodentia, Muridae. The record is from RefSeq and is a predicted model, not a curated record.
CCUCCCAUAGACCUCUAGGAUCCAUUUUGUUUCUCCUUCUGAGCAAGAUUCAACCCUCCUCCCUUGAGCCUUCCUUACUAUUUGGAUUCUUUGAGCCUCUUGACUAUAGCACGGUUAUCCUGUACUUUAUGGCUAAUAUCCACUUAAAAGGUGCUCAAGAAAAAUAUACUUAAAUGCCAAGUUGUAUUAGAAAUAAAGCAUGUUAUGGUGAUGACCAUUCCUGACAUACAGAGUGCGUCACACAGUUCUCCUUUGUAUUUGGGUGACGAUCAUCUGGGAAAAAAAAAAGCUUCAUAAUAAUCCUGUGAGGAAAAUGGUAUUACCUCAAUUUAAAAAUAAAUAAGCUGAGUUAUGAAAAGUUUGUGGCGAUAAGAAGGAGCAAUUUGAAGUGAAAAAUCAGUGCUGCAGGAUGUUACUGAAUAUCCUUCACUAACUUCCUUAAUAGUCCUUCUCCUAACUACUCCAUUGGGGUCCCCGUGCUCAGUCCGAUGGUUGGCCACAAGCAUCCACAUCUGUAUUCAUCAGGCUCUUGGCAAUGCUUCUCCAGAGAUAGCUGUAUCAGGCUCCUGUCAGCAUACUUGUUGGCACCAGCAAUAGUGCCUAAGUUUGGUGUCUGCAUAUGGAAUGGAUCCCAGAUUGUCUGGAACUCUAAGUUUUAUAAGAACUCCUCUAGAGUCUUUGGGUGAAACUAUACGAUAAGAUUGAGCUACAUGAUUUCUAUAAAGAGAUCUUAGGGAUACCAUUAAAGAGUAAGUAUUUUCUGAAGGUAUGUGA